Molecule: long non-coding RNA, 450 nt
Filed under: Anser brachyrhynchus (Pink-footed goose)
Lineage: Eukaryota; Metazoa; Chordata; Aves; Anseriformes; Anatidae
Description: lncRNA (ENSABRG00000013375.1)
Source: RNAcentral
AUUUUAUUUGCUUUCUUGAAAAAAAUGAACUUUUUUUUGGUCUUCUGCAAGUAUUUCAAUGAUUGUUUGAUUUAGUAACUUAGGGCUAUCUUACUUCUCUUCAAGUCUGUGAAAAUGUGCUGGUGGCUUUCAAUGGAGAAGAAUCAAACCUGUUGGCCUUCAUCUUGGAAAGCUGUAUGCACUUGCUUUUGCAAUCCGCUCACAGACUCAAGAUGAAGAUUUAGGGCCAAUAUUGGCAAGCCCCAUAGCAGGAGGAGGAAGGAAGAAGGAACAGACCUGACAUGAGCUACUGAGCUGGAAGCUAUGCUAGACCAGACACUAAGGAUCUGCUGGUGAUGAAUCUAUGUGUCUAAGAAGCAGCAGAGUCAAAGUCAUAGACUGGUAAAUACCUGCCACUAUCUUUCUAUCUGUUACUGAAGAGAUGACAUCAAUUAUGGGAACAUGUCCCAG